This 455-nucleotide long non-coding RNA is filed under the name Equus caballus (horse). RNAcentral's name for it is "lncRNA (ENSECAG00000045083.1)". Lineage: Eukaryota; Metazoa; Chordata; Mammalia; Perissodactyla; Equidae. The record is from RNAcentral.
UAGUUUAUUUUUUUCUGGAUAAAACUUUUAUGAUCAAUGAUGAAUACAUUCUUUCUUUUUUCUUUUUUUUUUUUUGAGGAAGAUUAGCCCUCAGCUAACUACUGCCAGUCCUCCUCUUUUUGCUGAGGAAGCCUGGCUCUGAGCUACCUUCCGUGCCCAUCUUCCUCUAGUUUAUACGUGGGACGCCUACCACAGCAUGGCAUGCCAAGCAGUGCCAUGUCCGCACCCGGGAUCUGAACCAGCGAACCCGGGGCUGCAGAGAAGCGGAACGUGCGAACUUAACCGCUGCGUCACCGGGCCGGCCCCUGAAUACAUUCUUUCUUGCUCCAGAGUUAUAUGAAAAAUCAAUGGAUUAGUCAUGAUGCCUUUUUUUUGAGGAAGAUCAGCCCUGAGCUAAUAUCUGCCACCAAUCCUCCACUUUUUGCUGAGGAAGACUGGCCCUGAGCUAACAUCCA